GCUGGCGGCAUGCCUAACACAUGCAAGUCGAACGGUAACGCGGAGAGCUUGCUCUCUGGCGACGAGUGGCGGACGGGUGAGUAAUACUUAGGAAUCUGCCCAGUAGUGGGGGACAACAUUCGGAAACGGAUGCUAAUACCGCAUACGCCCUACGGGGGAAAGCGGGGGAUCUUCGGACCUCGCGCUAUUGGAUGAGCCUAAGUCGGAUUAUUCUUGUUGGUGAGGUAAUAGCUCACCAAGGCGACGAUCCGUAGCUGGUCUGAGAGGACGAUCAGCCACACUGGGACUGAGACACGGCCCAGACUCCUACGGGAGGCAGCAGUGGGGAAUAUUGGACAAUGGGCGCAAGCCUGAUCCAGCAAUGCCGCGUGUGUGAAGAAGGCCUGCGGGUUGUAAAGCACUUUCAGUAGAGAAGAAAAGCUUACGGUUAAUAACCGUGAGUCUUGACGUAACCUACAGAAGAAGCACCGGCUAACUCCGUGCCAGCAGCCGCGGUAAUACGGAGGGUGCGAGCGUUAAUCGGAAUUACUGGGCGUAAAGCGCGCGUAGGCGGCUCUGUAAGUCGGAUGUGAAAGCCCUGGGCUUAACCUGGGAAUUGCAUUCGAUACUGCAGAGCUAGAGUAUGGUAGA
RNAcentral lists this ribosomal RNA (630 nucleotides) under uncultured Gammaproteobacteria bacterium. RNAcentral describes it as "bacterial SSU rRNA". It matches the Rfam family "Bacterial small subunit ribosomal RNA", at positions 35 to 655 of the family's 1533-position model. Lineage: Bacteria; Pseudomonadati; Pseudomonadota; Gammaproteobacteria. The record is from RNAcentral.